GCCUCGUUGGCUCUGUAGGCAGCGCGUCAGUCUCAUAAUCUGAAGGUUGUGAGUUUGAGCCUCACAUGGGUUA
Danio rerio (zebrafish) is the source of this 73-nucleotide non-coding RNA. NCBI's taxonomy places the organism in Eukaryota, Metazoa, Chordata, Actinopteri, Cypriniformes, Danionidae. The record is from Rfam.